AGCUCAGCAUGGAAAUCGGCCUCAUGGCNUUGAAUUGUAGUCUCGAGAAGCAUUGCCAACGGAGGCGCAGAUGUAAGCCUCUUGGAAAAGAGCAUCAACGAGGGUCAGAAUCCCGUUUGUCAUGUGCAGUCCCCCGUCACGGUGUGCUUUCUAAGAGUCACGUUCCUCGGGAUUGGAGCGCAAAGUGGGUGGNAAAUUUCAUCUAAAGCUAAAUAUAGGUUCGAGACCGAUAGCAAACAAGUACC
This 245-nucleotide ribosomal RNA is filed under the name Amphidinium carterae. It matches the Rfam family "Eukaryotic large subunit ribosomal RNA", at positions 106 to 352 of the family's 3401-position model. Lineage: Eukaryota; Dinophyceae; Amphidiniales; Amphidiniaceae. The record is from RNAcentral.